AAAACUCAGCUGGGAUCACAGAUGAUUCCCCCCUAACGAGGUCAGGCCUAAUAACCCACAAAAAGGUCUUGUUGCUAUUUGCAAUUCCCCAAGCAAACUCAACUAGCUGCUCUCUUGUCGUGAUUGCGAUGCUUCCGAAAUUGACAUUGUUUGUACCAUACUUGACCAAUCCCGAAACUACCGAGCACCGGCCAACGCUAUACUGUCAAGGACCCAGAAGAGUUCCCCUCCGACCAGGAGGCCAAUCACUACUCGACACGUGUCAAGAUUAGAAGCCAAUCAGAGCGCAGCACGUGUCGACAUCAAGAACCAAUCAUAACAUGACACAUGUCAAUGUGACAAAGCUACAAGUUUUUCUAUAAAUAGGGGUCAUUCCCCCACAAUAUUGCCUAAUGCCAUUUGUGUUAAAUCAUUCACAAGAACUCACUAAAUUGAGAGCUUGAUCCUUUGUACUUGUGUAAGCCCUUCACUACUAAUAAGAACUCCUCUACUCCGUGGACGUAGCCAAUCUGGGUGAACCACGUACAUCCUGUGUUUACUUCUCUGUCUCUAUUCAUUUACGUACUUAUCCUCACUAGUGACCGAAGCAACCAAGCGAAGGUCAUAAAACCUGACACUUUCUGUUGUACCAAAGUCUUCGCUGAUUUUGUGCAUCAACAUUUGGCGCCGUCUGUGGGAAACGACACUUAUUCCUACUCUCUUCAGCUGUGUCAAGCUGGUUUCUAUCAUUCGUACACUUUCUUUUGAUCAGGCAUCCCUCUCCAGCAUGGGAAGCGAAGGAAGCCACAGCACACAGAAUGACACCCCCCUUGCACAUAGUGCGAAACAACGAAAGAAGGAAGGAACUUCUUCAAGCUAAAGUCGAUGAGUUGGAAGCUCAGAACAACAAGAUAGCAAUGAGGAAUGAGGUCCUCCAGGAGCAAUAUGAGAAGCUCUUCGAGACACUUCACGAAGCUAGGCAAGCUCAGACACGCGAGCUUGUUGCCCCCGUGGAAGUUAACCAUCAACUGGGUGCCCUCCAACAUGGAGGGUCACAUGCAUUCGACAUAGAUAUCCCUGAUAGGGAACAAAUUACCCCUCGAUUUGAUAAUCAACAUGAGGCUUCUCUUAACCCAGUUGCUUCGACCCGAACCAUGAGAAGCGGAGGGAGACACCUCUUUGCUGAAGGGGCAGAAGGAUCGAAAGCCGUCUUUCGCGAUUGUCGGGAUUUCCUGAAGCAACGUCGAGAGAAUUCCAUCCAUAUAAGCUCAAAGAUCAAUGACCCAAGGAUUUCUGAGAGACUCGGUCCCCUGCCACGGCCCGAGCCGGCCACCAACUUGGGGAAGGUGCAACAAGUCCUAGAGAGACAUGAGGGUACAGGGGACUCAGAGGUGUUCCGACAGACAUACCCUGGAAGCCAGUACAGCGAGUCCAGGGAAAAAUCACAUGCCCUUGAUCAAACCUUCCUAAUUCCAAGAGGAGAUGGAGAUUUACGAAAGAAAGCUCCAGUGGCACAUAACUCCGCUCAUGACCCCCUUGUCCUACAACUUCUUGAGGAAGUAAACAAGUUGAAGGCUGAACGUCAGGCUGAAAUACCUGACUGGAACCAACCCAGGCCUGGCCCUCUUACAAGGAGGAUCCUCAACACCCCCCUUCAAGCAAAGACAAAGCAGAAGCUUGGCUUGCAACUUUAUACUGGAAAAGAGGACCCGAUUGAGCACCUUAACCUCUUUGAGUCCACCAUGGCAUACCGGAUGCACACCGACGAAGAGCGAUGUCUUCUCUUCCCCUCCACCCUCUCUGGCGGAGCUCUAAAUUGGUAUUGUCGUCUUACACCUGAGACGGUAGACUCAUUUGAGGAAUUGAGGAAACUAUUUGUUUCCCAACACAUUUUCCAAACCGAUCGCUUGCACUCUGCAGAUGACCUAUACACUAUCUGCCAGAAGCCAGACGAGUCAUUACGUAUGUAUGCUGGCCGCUUCAGCCAUGAAUACUCCCGGUGUGCCGAGACAGACGACAAGACUGCCCUCAAAGCCUUCACGGCAGGCCUACGUGAUUGUUUCUUUAAAUACAUGAUCAAUGCCAAUACUUGGAAGACUUACUCUGAGGUGAUGGCGCAGGCUUAUAACCAUGCCUCCGCCGAGGCAAAGACAUAUCAGGAGAAACCCCCUCACCCAACGCCAUGGAGGAAGAACUAGCAAUAGCUAAAGUUCGACGGUUGGGAAGAUCAUCCAAUGUUUCUCUAGUACAGGACUCUAACAAAGACCCUGAAGACUCCGACAUUGCAGACUCAGACUUAGAGCUAAAGCUAGAAGAGCCCUCAUCACUAGAACUUCCAGGCUCUGACAUCUACAAUAAGAAGAAACAAAUUCUAUCACUACAUGCAUGAUCAAAACAUAAGGAAGUUCCUAUAUUACCCACAGGAAGAUGGUGCAAAGCGAUGCCGGAACCCUUCUCAAUCAGAAAGCAAUCCGUCUUCCACAGUCACUACAAAACAAGCAAAUGAAGACCGUGUCAAGCGCCAAAAAAAAAAAAAAAAAAAAAAAAAAACAGCUUCAUCCAAAAAGCUUCACCCGAAAAGCUUCACCUCCAAAACUUCACCCAAAAAGCUUCAUCCAAAAAGUUUCACCCAAAAAGCUUCACCUAAAAAAGCUUCACCCAAAAAAAAAAAACUUCACCUCCAAAAAGCUUCACCCACAAAGCUUCACCUAAACAGCUUCAUCCAAAAAGCUUCACCCGAAAAGCUUCACCUCCAAAACUUCACCCAAAAAGCUUCAUCCAAAAAGUUUCACCCAAAAAGCUUCACCUAAAAAAGCUUCACCCAAAAAAAAAACUUCACCUCCAAAAAGCUUCACCCAAACAGCUUCACCUAAAAAAGCUUCACCCACAAAGCUUCACCUAAACAGCUUCAUCCAAAAAGCUUCACCCGAAAAGGUUCACCUCCAAAACUUCACCCAAAAAGCUUCAUCCAAAAAGUUUCACCCAAAAAGCUUCACCUAAAAAAGCUUCACCCAAAAAAAACUUCACCUCCAAAAAGCUUCACCCAAACAGCUUCACCUAAAAAAGCUUUACCCACAAAGCUUCACCUAAAAAGCUUCACCCAAAAAAACUUCACCCGAAAAGCUUCACUUAAAAAAGCUUCACCUACAAAGCUUCACCUAAAAAAGCUUCACCUACAAAGCUUCAACACAAAACCUUGCUCCAAAUAAACAAAUUUUGUUCACAAAACCCAAGAUGCCCUUGAACUUGUACAAAAACACUUGGGUAAACAUAAACAUUUUUUGUUUUACACCCACAAGGGCCCAAAAUUUUCCUUCUUAUUUAUUCACUUAUAUAUGUUCCCAAACAUAUUAUAAUAGAUCCAACAACAAGCCAAAGUCCCAAGUUUCAUAAUGGACAAAAGUACAAGCAAUUCAUCAAUAAUGAAGGUGCUACAAAACUUGGAAUCUGCCCCAAAAUAGAAAUCCAACCCAAGAGACUUUUUCUCUCUCUCCCUCUUCCGCCUCCUUUCAUCUAUCAAAUUUCUGCAACCUCUGCUCUUCUCCAAUGGAGCUGAAUUUUGGACACCCUAUAGUUUUUGAGCAUAUGAACAACUUUCAAGAAGGAACCAUUUCUGUUUGAGCGACGGAAAUUAAAGUGUUGAAGCUCCAAACAUGACAGUCGGAUUCUUGCAGAUUUCGAAGCUGCUGUGAUGUUUCGAAGAUCUGGAAAUAUUUAACCAUUAGUUCAUUCUGAAUUUUUGAUAUGUUAUGAAAGAGACGAUGAGGAACAACUUCAAUGAAGAAAGCAAGCUGAUCUGAACAAUAGAAAAUGGAGUUUCGAAGCUCACAACAAAUCUGACGGGUUGACAGAAAAAUAAUAACCAGUCAUUCAUCAUACCUGAAUUUCUUGAGUUAUACAGCUCCGAGGGAUCUCAAAUUUGGAUAUGUUGUAGUUCACAAGCUGAGGAACAACUUCAAUGAAGAAAGCAUGCUGAUCUGAGCAAGAGAAAAUAGAGUUUCAAAGCUCACAACAAAUCUGACGGGUUGACAGAAAAAUCAUAACCAGUCAUUCAUCAUACCUGAAUUUCUUGAGUUAUACAGCUCCGAGGGAUCUCAAAUUUGGAUAUGUUGUAGUUCACAAGCUGAGGAACAACUUCAAUGAAGAAAGCAUGCUGAUCUGAGCAAGAGAAAAUAGAGUUUCAAAGCUCACAACAAAUCUGACGGGUUGACAGAAAAAAUCAUAACCAGUCAUUCAUCAUACCUGCAUUUCUUGAGUUAUACAGCUCCGAGGGAUCUCAAUUUUGGAUAUGUUGUAGUUCACAAGUUAAGGAACAACUUCGAUGAAGAAAGUAUGUUGAUCUGAGCAAGAGAAAAUGGAGUUUCGAAGCUCACAACAAGUCUGACAGGUUGACAGAAAAAUGAUGAACAGUCACUCAUCAUACCUGAAUUUCUGGAUUUGUACUGCUCCGAUGGAUCUCAAAUUUGGAUAUGUUGUAGCUGACAAGGUGAGGAACAACUUCGAUGAAGAAAGUAUGUUGAGAUGAACAAGAAAAAAUGGAGUUUAGAAGCUCACAACAAGUCUGACGGGUUAACAGAAAAUUGAUGAACAGUUACUCAUCAUACCUGAAUUUCUGGAGUUGUACUACUCCGAUGGAUCUCAAAUUUGGAGAUGUUGUAGUUCACAAGAUAAGGAACAACUUUCAUGAAGACGACUUUGCGAUCUGAGCUAUAGAGAAUGGUGUUAUCUUGCAUCCACUCAGGCUGAUUAGUGGAAACGAAAAGCAAUUCCACCAAAGAAAAGAUGAAAAAGAGAGAAAAGCUACUAAUUGCACUUAAUCUUGUCUAGUCAAUAGCAUGCAGCAUCAAACACACAAAAGUUGGAAAUAUUUUUAGAUAAGGCAUAUGCGAAUGUGUGACAUCGAAACAAGGAUUCGUUACUUUGACAAAUUAGUAACAAGCGAGACACCUCAUUCGGCAACUCUCUUCGCCUGAAGACUUGGGGGACUCCCACCAUAUGAUACUCGGCAGUCUCACAACCACUCAGUGACUUGGAUUUUUCAAGUCUCCAACCGAGAAGUUUUCCUCACUCGGGAAAUUAAGGGAACACUACCUCAAACUACAUGCUUCACUCACAAAGCUUCAACAAUACAGGUUUAAACAAAAGCAAAAAUUCAAAGAACUUUAUGAAGAAGGCUUUGGUGUAUUUAACACAAUAUAUUAAAAUGAAGCAAAGCUUAUUUAUUAAUAUUUUCGAUAAGCCACAAAUAUGUACAUAUACAUGAGUCAAAAUAAACAAACAAAAGGGAGCCUUCACAAAGGUUGCUUAGGGGAAGUCUCAGCAGUCGGUAGAGCCCCAGAAGAGAAAGCACCGGAGGGUGGUUAUCCGGAGCCUCAGUACUUGACAAAACCCCAGAAGGAUGAGGCAUUGGAGUUUCAUCAUUUGAAGCUUCAUUACCAGGUACAGCCCCAGAGGACGAAGGCAAUAAAUGCCUUUGGAACAAACCCACAAACCGCUGAUGAUCAAGUAAAACCUUACCAUCAGAUUCCUUCAUCUGGUCAAGCUUCCUCUUCAUGUUUGUAGCAUAGUCAUGGGCGAGCCGGUGCAACUGCUUAUUCUCAUGCUUGAGCCCUCUAAUCUCCUGUUUGAGACUCAUCACUUCAGCAGCCAAUGAUUCAACUUGGCGGGUUCUAGCAAAUAGGCGUUGGGCCAUAUUAGACACAGAACCUGCACACUGAACACUAAGAGCCAGAGAGUCCUUAACAGCCAACUCAUCAGACCGUUUGGAAAGUAGUCUGUUAUCUUUGGGAGUGAGAAGGUUCCUGGCCACCACUGCAGCGGUCAUAUCAUUCUUCAUCACAGAAUCCCCAACGGUAAGAGGACCAGUAAGGGAUAUGAAGGAUGGGCGCCAUAUGUUGUCUGGAGAAGGCGUGGCUGUCUCUUCUCCAAGGUUCAGGUCAAAACGACGGUCGGAGGGUCCAGACAUUUUCAAAUGUGUUGAAGAGGGAAGAGGUCAGACAAAUCAAGAUCUUAGAAGUGCAAGAAAUGAGCUUCUACUGGUAGAGAUUCAAGUGUGCUGUGGAACUUAAUGCCAGCCUCUAUAAAAAUCUGCACUCGACGGAGCUUCAGAAAUCGAAGAGGCGUUUGCUUUCUCAAAAGCUGGGCUGCUCAGAGACCACGAGGGCCGAUCUCAGAAAUCGAAGAAGCACCUGCUUUUUCAGCCUCGUCAGCACCUGUCACAUGCACACUCAGCUUUGCGGGAAAUUACGGGCAAUCUGUCGAAGAUUUCUGGUGAAGUAGAAAGCACGUGAAUCUUACUGUUCAAUCACCGCUCUCCAUAUGCACCAUCAACUCCUCGGGUACCACAUAUAACUUUAUCAAAGAUCUCUGACAAAGUUUAGGCACGAGAAUUUCGAAGUUCCAGCUACCCUACUAUUACCCAUAAGGGUAAAGGAACAGCACCACUGCUUGACAACUGGAAAGUCCCUAUGUGUGUCGACCUCCGUGUUUUGCGGCAAGACAGGUUGGCAAGAACGUCCAACCUUUACUCACAUUCGAGAAAAGACUCCCAACAUAAUUACUUUCUCAAAAAACCGGAGUAGCACCGCUUUCCGAAUCUCGAGAUUCAGAUCCUCGACGGGAUUGCUUGUUCGAAAACCGAAGAGGCACAACUCUCAGAACUUCGAGAGCCAGAUUUCCUUAGAUAAAGCUUGUCUGUAAUCUUCACACGUAACAUCAGCUUUCCAGAUACCACAUACCACUUUUUCAAAGUGCUCUGACAAAAUUAAAACACGUGAAGCUGGCAGCUCCCACUACAUUGCUGUGACCAAGAAGGGUAAAGGAAUAGCAUUACUACUUGUUAUUGGGAAAUCCCUAUAUACAUUGACCUCCCUCCUCAACGGACAGGCAAACCUGCAAAAAUGCUCAACCCUUUCUCGCAUUCGAAAAGGCACCCUCAACAUAACCUCUCGAAAUACUCAGCUUUAUUUCCCCCCGAUAAUACCUCAGCAAAUAAGCCACACCAAGAACAAGAGUAUCUCAUAUCAUCAGGGUCGAAAGCAAGAGUAUCCCAUAUCAUGCUUUCUCCCUAUCUUUGUCUUUGUCCUUGUCCACACCUGCAGGACAAGGAGAAAGAGAGCAGUCAGUCGGAACCUGAAAUCAAACCUCCAAUUUGGAACUGACUGCCUGGAGCCUUUGCCUGGUUGCUUACUUAGCAUUGCUCUCGAGUACUCAUCCUCAACUGCUGUCAAGGUCACGAAUUCCACCGGCAAAUACCUCAUGACAGUUGAUCAGAUAUUGGCUCUUUACACUGAAGCUGCCAAGCGUGGAUGAGUCACUAUGAAGGAAUGUUCUGAAGGACCAUUUAAAUGCAAAGGUUGCACACCACUUCUGCCAUGCAAAAGAUUGAAGCAGAAGGUUCAACGGUGAGCUGAAACAGAUCACUACAGCACGACACCUUUCCAUACCACAUUCAUUAUUCCGUCAACAGCAAAAGUAUCCCAUAUCAUCAAGGUCGAACGUACUCUAGAUUUGAUGGACUUGUUUUGACCCUCAAAUUUUUGAGUCGGCCUUAUACUCUGAAGGGCACCAGAAAACCCUCCAGCACAGUUCAAGAAUAAGCCUGUGGAAAGUUACUUCUUCAAAAGCAAAAGUAUCUCAUAUCAUCUCUUAUCCAUUUGCUUCUCCUUAUCCUGGCAGUUGAAUGAGAGACAAGGAGAAGGAGAACAAUCAACCGGAAGCCGAAGUCAAACCUCUGAUCCUGGGUUGCUUACUUGGAAGUUUGACUGCUUACCUUGUCUGUCACCUCUUUCGGCAGAUCUCCUAGCUCGGCGACUUGGGGGACUCCUACUAUAGGGUUUGUAUCACACUUGACUAAGCCCGAAACUACAACUAAGCUUCAAGUGAAAUUGAUACAUUACCUUGUGCGUCAACAUCAGCUAAAUACACCAUUCCCGGAUGGAGGAAAGGUACUUCCAGAGAAGGGCAGAUGAAGAUCAGACCACACUUCGGUACUUAGAAGUUUCGUGAUUACUCAAGGGAUUGGAUCUUGCAAGUCCCCAACCGAGGAGUUUUCCUCACUCGGGAACUUAGGGGAGCACUGUUUGUACCAUACUUGACCAAUCCCGAAACUACCGAGCACCGGCCAACGCUAUACUGUCAAGGACCCAGAAGAGUUCCCCUCCGACCAGGAGGCCAAUCACUACUCGACACGUGUCAAGAUUAGAAGCCAAUCAGAGCGCAGCACGUGUCGACAUCAAGAACCAAUCAUAACAUGACACAUGUCAAUGUGACAAAGCUACAAGUUUUUCUAUAAAUAGGGGUCAUUCCCCCACAAUAUUGCCUAAUGUCAUUUGUGUUAAAUCAUUCACAAGAACUCACUAAAUUGAGAGCUUGAUCCUUUGUACUUGUGUAAGCCCUUCACUACUAAUAAGAACUCCUCUACUCCGUGGACGUAGCCAAUCUGGGUGAACCACGUACAUCCUGUGUUUGCUUCUCUGUCUCUAUUCAUUUACGUACUUAUCCUCACUAGUGACCGAAGCAACCAAGCGAAGGUCAUAAAACCUGACACUUUCUGUUGUACCAAAGUCUUCGCUGAUUUUGUGCAUCAACAGACAUAAAUAACAGAAUUGGGUGCCUUCGAGUCAAGCCAUUCAAGACACUCUGGUUCCUCUAUCCAUAGGUUCGAUUCUAUCGAAUUCAACUCGUUAUCCGCUGGGAUUUGUUUGAGUUGUAGAUUUAGGGGUCCAAUGGAGUAAAU
Molecule: long non-coding RNA, 8716 nt
Filed under: Malus domestica (apple)
Lineage: Eukaryota; Viridiplantae; Streptophyta; Magnoliopsida; Rosales; Rosaceae
Description: long non-coding RNA (MDOM_LNC007666)
Source: RNAcentral